UUUCGGGCCGAACUGGGUUCGGGCCCGAAAUGUAAAUUGGAUUGAUAAUUUGGCAUUUUAUUUGAUGAAUGAUAAUCUGAAAUUUAUUUGAAAUUAAUUGAGCAUGAAAUGACUUAUUUACCCUUGUGAGGGUGUAGGUGUGAAUAAUAAGCCAUGAGGGCAUUUUGGUCAUUUGACCCCUAUUUACUAUGUUUGAUUAAAAUUGAUUUUUGAUGAAAUGAAAAGCAAUUUUCUGGUUUUUGCUUUCCUCUUGGCCGACCCCCUCUCUCUCCCAAACCCUCUUAUUAUUUCAAAGUUGAAUUUGAAGAAAAGCUUGGUUCUUAGCUUGUUUUGGAGCUUUGAAGUUGUGAAUUCUUGAGCUUGGAGUUGAGGAUUACCGGCACCUGGUCAGGAGCACCCGGGGAUUUGGAAUCUCUACUAUUGCGGGACAACAGGAAAGGGUAAGGCAUUAGCUGAUCAGCCAUGAGUUUCAGGAGCAGGGCGAAGAAUGUACAUGUUCAUGCCACUUCAGACCAAGCGGGUUAUGGGUCUAACAGUGUUGACUUUUGUAUUCUGUUUUGCCGCUUAGGUCGGCUAGUAAGAAAGAACUUGUAAUAAGUUUGUAAAUAUUUUUGGGAUCCCAACUAUUUUGAAAAGUUUAAAUAUAUUACAAGUUUAUUUUCAGUCUGUUUAAUAUAAAAGUUUAAAUUUUGCGCUA
Long non-coding RNA from Cannabis sativa, 697 nucleotides. RefSeq lists it as uncharacterized. The record is from RefSeq and is a predicted model, not a curated record. The transcript has 3 exons. Lineage: Eukaryota; Viridiplantae; Streptophyta; Magnoliopsida; Rosales; Cannabaceae.